RNAcentral lists this ribosomal RNA (332 nucleotides) under uncultured bacterium. Its description in RNAcentral is "bacterial SSU rRNA". It matches the Rfam family "Bacterial small subunit ribosomal RNA", at positions 568 to 898 of the family's 1533-position model. The record is from RNAcentral.
CUCGUAGGCGGUCGCAUACGGCGGUGGUGAAAGCUCCCGGCUCAACUGGGAGAGGCUCACCGCAACGGUGUGACUCGAGGAUGGUAGAGGCAGAUAGAAUUCCUGGUGUAGCGGUGAAAUGCGUAGAGAUCAGGAGGAAUACCCGUGGCGAAGGCGGUCUGCUGGGCCAUUUCUGACGCUGAGGAGCGAAAGCUAGGGGAGCGAACGGGAUUAGAUACCCCGGUAGUCCUAGCCGUAAACGAUGGAUACUAGGUGUCAGCGGUAUCGACCCCGCUGGUGCCGUAGCUAACGCGAUAAGUAUCCCGCCUGGGGAGUACGGCCGCAAGGUUGAA